AAGGUGCACUUAACUGUGCUUAAUUGGGAACGUGAGUGUGAAUCUCCGACUGUCCCGCAGCAGUGAACUCCAUUAUGGCUCCUAAGCAAUCAAGCCAUUGCCCGUUUGGACGAGAAGGCGCUUGGGAGUGGAGGAAAGUCUGAAGACCAGCCUUUAAUUG
This 160-nucleotide non-coding RNA is filed under the name uncultured Prevotella sp. The record is from RNAcentral. Lineage: Bacteria; Pseudomonadati; Bacteroidota; Bacteroidia; Bacteroidales; Prevotellaceae.